AUUGAACGCUGGCGGCAGGCCUAACACAUGCAAGUCGAGCGAGCGGCGGACGGGUGAGUAAUGUCUGGGAAACUGCCUGAUGGAGGGGGAUAACUACUGGAAACGGUAGCUAAUACCGCAUACCAUCAGAUGUGCCCAGAUGGGAUUAGCUGGUCGGGGGGGUAACGGCUCACCUCGGCAACGAUCCCUAGCUGGUCGGAGAGGAUGACCCGCAAAACUGGAACGGAGACACGGUCCAGACGCGUACGGGAGGCAGCAGUGGGGAAUAGUGGACAAUGGGGGCAAGCCGGAUGCAGCCAUGCCGCGUGUGUGAAGAAGGCCUUCGGGUGGGAAAGCACUUGCAGCGGGGAGGCGUUACCCGCAGAAGAAGCACCGGCUAACUCCGUGCCAGCAGCCGCGGUAAUUC
This 406-nucleotide ribosomal RNA is filed under the name uncultured bacterium. Its description in RNAcentral is "partial 16S ribosomal RNA". It matches the Rfam family "Bacterial small subunit ribosomal RNA", at positions 29 to 526 of the family's 1533-position model. The record is from RNAcentral.